RNAcentral lists this long non-coding RNA (261 nucleotides) under Populus trichocarpa (black cottonwood). RNAcentral's name for it is "long non-coding RNA (PTRI_LNC003952)". Lineage: Eukaryota; Viridiplantae; Streptophyta; Magnoliopsida; Malpighiales; Salicaceae. The record is from RNAcentral.
AGGAUCUGGAGGAUGAGCCUGAAGCCAAUGGUGAUGGUGGCAGUGAUGAUGAUGAUGAUGAAGAAGACGAUGAUGAUGAGGAAGAUGAAGACGACGAUGAUGACGAGGAGGAUGAAGACGAGGAUGAAGAGGAGGAUGAGGAAGAUAUUCCCCAGCCACCAUCUAAGAAGAGGAAAUGAGGCCAAAAUCAUUUUCCUCUUUUUUUCUUAUUUUGUUUUAUUUCUCUUGUUAGAUUAGGAGUUUGGGUUAACAGGGAGCGUA